GUCUAUAGCCAUGCUACCCUGAACGUGCCCAGUCUCGUCUGAUCUUGGAAGCUAAGCAGGGUCGGGCCUGGUUAGUAGUUGGAUGGGAGACCACCUAGGAAUACCAGGUGCUGUAGGUA
RNAcentral lists this ribosomal RNA (119 nucleotides) under Pteropus alecto (black flying fox). Lineage: Eukaryota; Metazoa; Chordata; Mammalia; Chiroptera; Pteropodidae. The record is from RNAcentral.